CGCCGGGCCGGAAACGCGUAAACACGCGUGACCCGGGGCCUCACCGCGUCUCCACCGUCCCCGACGCGCGGUGAGCGUUCAGCCCUCAGAGCGCGCUCCUGGCCCAGCAAGAAAGAAAAGACUCGGGUGCCGGUGGCAUCAGGGCGCAGGGCCCAAGCUAGGUGGAGUAGCCCGGUGAGCGGGAGGAGCCCGAAGGGCACGAAGGGCACGCACGCCUGGGAUCCCAGCACUCGGGAGGCUGAGGCAGGAGGGUCGCUGUGAGUUCCAGACCAGCCUGGGCUACGUAGUGAGUUCCGGGUCAGUCUCAACUACGUAGUGAGACCCUGUCUCAAAAAACCAAAAAAAAAAAGAAAAAAAGAAAAAGAAACCCGAAGUACAGAGCGUCCCUGGAAGGCAGGGGUCUCAGAAACCGCAGGCCACUUUCUGGUGGGAAAAUCGGGAAGAGCACCCUGACUGUUCCUGUUUGUCCCGCCAGAGGCAGGCAUGGGCAGGACGCAGUGGCUUCCUCAAAUCUAGAGCUCGCCGUGAGUGCCGCUGCGCGUUCUGCUGCUGUCUCAUCAUCUGGACCCUCGAAGUCGCCGGUUCAACACCGCUUUCUAGGUUCGGCUCGGAGCGGGGCUGGACGUGUGGGGCCCCCUCCCGCCGGCCCUGUGGGGUUGAAGAGAUCGCUCGGCCGGGCUUGCUGGGAACCAGCAGCCUCGGAGGCCAGCAGGUGGACGGGGCUGCCGGGCCAAGGCCUUGGACGAGAGGCUGACAGAGAGGACGUCACAUUAAAACCACCGGUGCUGUGGACGCCACGGCCUGCGUCAGAGCCCCGCUGUCCGCACGCUGUCUGCUCCCGGGCCUCUCCGACCCCUCGCCUGGUACGUGUGACCAUUUCAGGACAUGAAGGGGCCACUAAGAGCCCGGACAGGCCAAGUGGGACCCCUGAAAUCACCUGUUCCUGGACCAGUGCGUAAGAAGACCGAGGAUGUCAGGGUGGCUUAAGUAUGGGCAUGCAGUUCCUCAAUACGUUCCUGCGCACCAGGGCCUGAGAACAACAAGGGUCCGUCUUCUCCCAUCUCAGAGCCCUGGUGGCUGAGACCGAGGCAUCCCGAGCCGAGCUCCCUCCACAGGCUCCCCAGGAGACCCUCCUGCCUCUGCCUCUUCCUGGGGCUCCGGGUGGCCACGCGCCGUGGCCCCACCGUGGCUCCAGUUUCUACCUCUGUCUCCACGCAGCUGCUGCUUUUGUUUCCUUAUUUAUGUCAGUGUGGACUCUAUUUCCAAAUAAGGCUCCUCUGAGUUUGAGGGUGGACGUGAGUUUGGGGCACCGUUCACCCCAACACUGUGUCCUUUCCCGACGGCAGCAGCUACGGGUUUCACCUCGUCCUCUCCCAGCCCACGGGGUGAACGCAGUAGCAGACUCUGUCCAGUGCUGUCCUCCCAGCGGCCCCUCCCUGCUCUGCUCGUCCCUCCUCUCGGGCUCUGUUUCCGUGCUGAGGGCGCCUGCAAGGCCACCCCGCACCCUGUGCAAAGUUCCAGGGACGUAGCCGCCUCGGCCUCCUGCCCACCUCCCCUUUCCCGGCUAGUUUGGUUUCCUAGAUGUCUUGGGAGCCAGGGCUCCUCCGGUCCUCACAGCCACGCAGGCGUCGGGGCUGGCGCGGGAGGGGUCGUGCACACCGCUGUGGCCCCACGGA
This 1676-nucleotide long non-coding RNA is filed under the name Fukomys damarensis (Damara mole-rat). RNAcentral's name for it is "lncRNA (ENSFDAG00000031566.1)". The record is from RNAcentral. Lineage: Eukaryota; Metazoa; Chordata; Mammalia; Rodentia; Bathyergidae.